ACGCUCGACACCACGGGAGCAGCAGUGAGGAAUAUUGGUCAAUGGGCGCAGGCCUGAACCAGCCAAGUAGCGUGAAGGAUGACUGCCCUAUGGGUUGUAAACUUCUUUUAUAUGGGAAUAAAGUUUUCCACGUGUGGAAUUUUGUAUGUACCAUAUGAAUAAGGAUCGGCUAACUCCGUGCCAACAGCCGCGGUAAUCUGAGCGGGCGUGCAAGGCG
RNAcentral lists this ribosomal RNA (217 nucleotides) under uncultured bacterium. RNAcentral's name for it is "partial 16S ribosomal RNA". It matches the Rfam family "Bacterial small subunit ribosomal RNA", at positions 326 to 541 of the family's 1533-position model. The record is from RNAcentral.